AAGCUAAAAACAAUCCAUAACAAUGGUGAACAUGUGUGUGGUUCAGUUUUGUAGCAAUUUGAAUAAUUCUGGUUACAAUGUGCAUUAUUUUCUCAAAGACCCAAGCCUCAGAAGACAGUGGGUAAGCUUUGUGCAAAUGAAGAGGGAUAAUUUUUCCAAACCCGGUCAACACUUUCACCUGAACCUGGACACGUUUUGAAAAGCUCAGCACCCCCCACACUAAGGACCAAAACUGCAAAGUUUUUGUUAAAAGACAAGUUGUAGAGAUGUUGCAGGAAGCAUGAGGUUGACAUGGAACCAGCAGAUGCUGAAGCUUCAUCUUUGGUCCAUUUCAAAAGUUGCCAGAUUGAAGUGCGUAUUCAUGACAGAACACAUCUGUCCGACAGCAGAGAGAAUACUGCAACAUGUAUUUCAACCUCAGGUGUUCUCAAAGUACUCUUAUUGAAAGACCAAAUAAUUCUGUGCUUAUGUUAUCUAACAUAUUUAUACAAAAUAUAAGCAUACUGUUCAAUAAAAAUGCUAUGAUUCUA
Long non-coding RNA from Syngnathoides biaculeatus (alligator pipefish), 530 nucleotides. RefSeq lists it as uncharacterized. NCBI's taxonomy places the organism in Eukaryota, Metazoa, Chordata, Actinopteri, Syngnathiformes, Syngnathidae. The record is from RefSeq and is a predicted model, not a curated record. The transcript is spliced from 2 exons.